AGUCCCGGCAGAGGGCUCCGCGAAGACAGUGCCGUCGUUGGGCGCGCGCGCGGGCGGGAGCUGUCGGGGCGGGGCGGCACCGCCGAGCUCCGAGCUGUGAGGACCGCCCCGGGCCUUGGGCGGGGCGGGGGCCAGGGAAGGGCGUGCGCAGGAUUGGGGAGCACGUUUUGCGUCUUGCUGUGCGUGAGGAAGCGGGGAUCCAGGUCAAGGCUAUGGAAAGGCAGGACUUUGAAAUGACCCUGUCCUCAGCCUGGAGGAUGCGGUAUUCUGAUUGUCUGGUGCUGUGUCAACUGGGCCUGCCUCUGGGAUAGUGUUGUGGCUGCCCCACGAGAACCCUAUAUGCCAGUUCCAGAAGCAAAAACAAAAAAAGUUCGGGUACAGCGGCUCACACCUGUAAUCCCAGCUCUUAGGGAGAUGGAAACUGGAGGAUCACUUGAGGCCAGGAGUUCAAGACCAGCCUGGGCAACAUAGCAAGACCCAGUCUCUUAAAAGAAAAUUAAAAAGAAAGAGUAAAUAAAGUUCCAGAAGCUUUGCUCUCCU
This 540-nucleotide long non-coding RNA is filed under the name Homo sapiens (human). Its description in RNAcentral is "HSALNT0331498". Lineage: Eukaryota; Metazoa; Chordata; Mammalia; Primates; Hominidae. The record is from RNAcentral.